CCUCCGAUAGCUCACUGGUAGAGCAUCCGGUAAGAAUUGCCGAAUUCAAAUGUGUUUAUAUCAUAUUUCCUGGAGAUGCUGGUUCGACUCCAGCUCGGAGGG
Non-coding RNA from Stereum hirsutum FP-91666 SS1, 102 nucleotides. The record is from the annotation of a RefSeq genome assembly. NCBI's taxonomy places the organism in Eukaryota, Fungi, Basidiomycota, Agaricomycetes, Russulales, Stereaceae.